RNAcentral lists this ribosomal RNA (492 nucleotides) under uncultured bacterium. RNAcentral describes it as "partial 16S ribosomal RNA". It matches the Rfam family "Bacterial small subunit ribosomal RNA", at positions 29 to 507 of the family's 1533-position model. The record is from RNAcentral.
AGUGAACGCUGGCGGUAGGCCUAACACAUGCCAGUCGAACGGCAGCACAGUAAGAGCUUGCUCUUACGGGUGGCGAGUGGCGGACGGGGGAGGAAUACAUCGGAAUCUACUUUUUCGUGGGGGAUAACGUAGGGAAACUUACGCUAAUACCGCAUACGACCUACGGGUGAAAGCAGGGGACCUUCGGACCUUGCGCGAUUGAAUGAGCCGAUGUCGGAUUAGCUAGUUGGCGGGGUAAAGGCCCACCAAGGCGACGAUCCGUAGCUGGUCUGAGAGGAUGAUCAGCCACACUGGAACUGAGACAUGGUCCAGACUCCUACGGGAGGCAGCAGUGGGGAAUAUUGGACAAUGGGCGCAAGCCUGAUCCAGCCAUACCGCGUGGGUGAAGAAGGCCUUCGGGUUGUAAAGCCCUUUUGUUGGGAAAGAAAAGCAGCAGGUUAAUACCCCGCUGUUCUGACGGUACCCAAAGAAUAAGCACCGGCUAACUUCGUG